This 450-nucleotide ribosomal RNA is filed under the name uncultured bacterium. RNAcentral describes it as "bacterial SSU rRNA". It matches the Rfam family "Bacterial small subunit ribosomal RNA", at positions 354 to 796 of the family's 1533-position model. The record is from RNAcentral.
GUGGGGAAUAUUGGACAAUGGGCGAAAGCCUGAUCCAGCCAUGCCGCGUGUGUGAAGAAGGUCUUCGGAUUGUAAAGCACUUUAAGUUGGGAGGAAGGGCAGUAAGUUAAUACCUUGCUGUUUUGACGUUACCGACAGAAUAAGCACCGGCUAACUUCGUGCCAGCAGCCGCGGUAAUACGAAGGGUGCAAGCGUUAAUCGGAAUUACUGGGCGUAAAGCGCGCGUAGGUGGUUUUGUAAGUUGGAGGUGAAAUCCCCGGGGUCAACCUGGGAACUGCCUCCAAAACUGCAUGACUAGAGUACGGUAGAGGGUAGUGGAAUUUCCUGUGUAGCGGUGAAAUGCGUAGAUAUAGGAAGGAACACCAGUGGCGAAGGCGACUACCUGGACUGAUACUGACACUGAGGUGCGAAAGCGUGGGGAGCAAACAGGAUUAGAAACCCGUGUAGUCC